AGAAGGAGUAACUAGGAGCAGGGUGAAAUGAAAGGGGGGAGGAAAUGAAGGGAGAGAGAGCACAGUAAUUCGGCCAAAGAGCGCGAGAUCCCAGCGAACGCGACAAACCAGGGCAACAGAGGAGUGUAUUGGUUUAAUUACAGGUCCUGGAUUUCUGCCCAGAACUAAUAACUGUAUGCUAUCUUGAAGAACAGAGGAAGAUCAAAGAAGAGAUGAUCUCUUCUUGGGCAGAUCAGACAAUGACAAUGGAAAUUGGAGAACAGGAAGAACUCUUAUUUUGCUUCUGAUUUCUGCUGAGGACGAUGACCUUUGGAACUGAAAGGACAGAACAAAAAUGGCUAAUAGACCUAUCACCUCUGGCCCAGAAUAUCACAGAAUACUCUGGACUCACAUUUCAACCAGGUUUGAUCUUAAAGAUUUACCCUUUGAAGGGUUAAUUUCUCUCUCUGGUUGGUCAUCCCCAUUAGUAAUUACUCCAGGAAAAUCUUUAUUAUUUCUUUCUAUCCAAAUAUAUGUACCCAUAGAGAUACAAAUGUGUGUGUAUUUAUUAAUACAAACUAG
Molecule: long non-coding RNA, 561 nt
Organism: Sarcophilus harrisii (Tasmanian devil)
Lineage: Eukaryota; Metazoa; Chordata; Mammalia; Dasyuromorphia; Dasyuridae
Exons: 3
Source: RefSeq, a predicted model, not a curated record